GGGCAGGCCGCAUCCCCGCCAGCGUAGGCUCCUGCAUCCGCGGAUUCCAGCCCGGGCUGGCUUUGCGGGGAGGAGCUCCUGAGCUUCCUAAACGUCCACUGGGACCUUCACGCUCUCAGAAAGUAUCUUCUGCAGCUGUGCGCCAUCCUGGUAAGGGACCCUGGGGCCCGGGAGCUGGCAUCCGGAACGUAGUGCCCGCAGGCAAGGAGAACAGGAAGAGCCGCCAGCUCUGGAGAACGCUGGAAGCCCUUCUGCCAGAGUCUCUGAAGCAGUCUGGAAAAUUCUACAGCCCACUGGGUGAAAACGAGGCAGCGAUGCAGCUCCUGCUCUUCUGGCCUGUGACGAAGACUUGGUGAGGAUGGUGACGGCGAUGGGGGAGGAGGACUGACGCCUGUUGGAAGUUCCAGUUUGCACCUUUCCUUCCCCAUCCAGCCUUGUUUAAUGCUCCAAGGCACUGUCUCCCAUUUACAGAUUUGGAAGC
This 481-nucleotide long non-coding RNA is filed under the name Sus scrofa (pig). RNAcentral's name for it is "lncRNA (ENSSSCG00025033768.1, ENSSSCG00030003383.1, ENSSSCG00060053412.1)". The record is from RNAcentral. Lineage: Eukaryota; Metazoa; Chordata; Mammalia; Artiodactyla; Suidae.